AUGUUAAUAUGUAAAUAUGAUAUCUUACUCCUUAGGCAGCUUUGGGCCCUUCAAGAGGUGAGCUCCUGUGUGUCUCCCUCCUGCUCCUGCUGUACCAAGGUAGAUUCUAAAAUGCCUCAGUGUGAUCAACUUAAGCCAGUACCAAUGCCUCUUCCGUCAACAGAUUCUUCAAAUGACUGUGGUUCUGUGACAGUAAAUAAGAAAGAUCUGUAUGGAGACUACAGAAAUCUGGCCUCUUAA
This 240-nucleotide long non-coding RNA is filed under the name Anser brachyrhynchus (Pink-footed goose). RNAcentral describes it as "lncRNA (ENSABRG00000008056.1)". Lineage: Eukaryota; Metazoa; Chordata; Aves; Anseriformes; Anatidae. The record is from RNAcentral.